Molecule: transfer RNA, 51 nt
Filed under: Trifolium repens (white clover)
Lineage: Eukaryota; Viridiplantae; Streptophyta; Magnoliopsida; Fabales; Fabaceae
Description: partial tRNA-Leu
Source: RNAcentral
GCUACGGACUUAAAAUCCGUCRACUUUAGAAAUCGUGAGGGUUCAAGUCCC